GCUCCGACGGUCACAUACGAAUCAUUGAUCUCCUUACGCAAAACGGAACGCUAACCAGACCGCUCGUGAAGCUAUGCUUUCUGCCACCUUCCGAUGAUCGCGAAUCCAAAAACCGCAAAAACAAACCGAUUUUAUCGUGUCACAAUAAGCUAAUCAAAUGAAAACGAAAAAUACGCCAAUACCAACCGUUAACAAAUAACAACCGUCAGAUAACAAACCGUAAAUAAAAAUAACAAACCGUACAUAAAAAUAACAAACCGUAAAGAAAACUGACAAAAAAUGGUCGAUCAAUACGACGGCCCAUUCAUGCCACAUAUCGUGGCACGAUUGCCCAUAUCAACUUAUAUGACAGAUAUGUAUAAUUAACCAUCUCAUUUACCACAGAUUACCAUGGAUGUAGAUACGCCAGUUGCAAAUACGCCAACCGCUCAGGCGGUAACCAAUGUACCACGCAACGGGCCUGCACCAGCGCCCCGAACGGUAGUUGCAACAGCAUCGGCUGCUACUCCGGCAACCAAGCACCGGCAACAACGCCGGCACCUGUGCCGGUAUCCGCGCCUCGUGGUGGCACCCGACCACCACCGAUCACAUCGAGGACUUCGGAGACCCGUCGGAUUAGGUGCCCCAUCUGUCGACGCAUACAUCCUCUGCACCAUUGUGGAAUAUUCAGGGGUAUGCGACCUUUGCAACGGCAGCAAGUUGCCCAGGCCCACGGGUAUUGCCUCAACUGCCUGUCGCACACUCAUACGACUACAGAGUGUGAGUCACGUGGGCUGUGCCAACUGUGUUACCGGCCGCAUCACACGCUGCUACACCGCAGCUCGUCACGCGAAGUUAACCGGCCACCCAACCAUCGCGGCCACGUAUCUCGACUUCCACCCGCUGAUCGUGUCAUACACCAGCGAAGUGGAACCUCGGUGCGGCGUCGACAGACUGGACCACCAUCUCGCCGAUCCACGGGUCUGAGCAAUGUUGUGGCAACGGUGCAACAGCUGCAGCGCCUUUUAGGCUAAACAGUCGUUUAGGGGGACCUGGGUGAUUAAAUGAGCUUCUGCGCCCCCCUCUUAAUAUAAGAUAGCUACAUCCCACACUACACACCCUAUUCUCAACACAUCGGCAUGAUGCCCACCGCAUCAUCAUCUACACCAUACCUUCACACACGAGGACACCAGAACAUAAUCAACAAAAGGGACCGACGGACGGCGCCAGCCUCUCUUUUGUUUUCGGUCCGUGCGCAUACUCGUACACGCAGUCAACUCUACUUUUUUAACUUCGAUUUCGUUACAAGGUGAUUCUGGUUAUCCACUACACGAGUAUCUAUGGACGCCUUUCCGAAACGCUUUACCAGGAACAGUGGAAUCAAAUUUUAAUAAGAAACAUGCAAAGGCAAGGAACGUAGUUGAACGGACAAUUGGAGUGCUGAAAUGCCGUUUUCGUUGUAUACUAGGUGAACGUAAACUACGACAUCCUCCUAGUAAAGCAACUGUUAUUGUAAAUGUUUGUUGUGCUUUACACAAUAUUUGCAAACAAUAUAAUGUGAAUGAUCCUGAAGAAGAAACUUUUGUUGAUGUGGUAGUACCACUGGAACCAGUUGAAGGAAACUUCAGUGGAACAGCAGCAGAUCAUCGCCGAAGACAAAUUGCGAAUGCAUUGUCAUAGUAUAGUUGCAUCCCCAAAAUAUAUGUACAUAUAUGUAACAUAACUACAAUAAAAUAACUGAAAUUAAUUUUGAAUUGCAGGAGAUUCUCGAAUCAAAUAAACGUUCGCCAAAUUUUGACAGUUGAGGCGGAGCGAAUUUUAAAAAUUCGCAAGUGGCAAUACCAAAUAUUCAUUUUCGCUAGUUCUUUCGCCACAUGACCGAAAAUCACUCUGGCGCUACGACAUCGGUCCGAUCCACACACGACUCCUUUUUGGCUACUUUAGUUUUACCUUUUUUGCGAACAUCUUGUUCAAAAUUAAAACAUUUUUAUACCUAUGUUGUGAAAGAAUAAAUACAAAAGUUUACAUUUUCUUGCGUUAAAUUCAAAUAUACUUGUACUUGUAUUUUAUUCUUUUGUGAGUGAAUAAAUUCAAAAGUUUAUAACAACUUGAA
Molecule: long non-coding RNA, 2092 nt
Organism: Bactrocera tryoni
Lineage: Eukaryota; Metazoa; Arthropoda; Insecta; Diptera; Tephritidae
Exons: 3
Source: RefSeq, a predicted model, not a curated record